RNAcentral lists this long non-coding RNA (225 nucleotides) under Capsicum annuum. Its description in RNAcentral is "long non-coding RNA (CANN_LNC008288)". Lineage: Eukaryota; Viridiplantae; Streptophyta; Magnoliopsida; Solanales; Solanaceae. The record is from RNAcentral.
GUGGCGGUGAAACUCAUAAAAGUUUUUUGUUGAGUGUAAAAAAUGAUGAAUGUUGAAGAGGGAAGUUAGUGGUGAUGGAAAUCCACUAAUAGAGAAUUGAAGCUUAGUAUUGAAGGUUAUUUUGGAUGGUUGUUUAUGUUGUUCCGAUAAUAUGUUUUCUCGGAGUUGAGUUUUUCAAAAAAGGUGAUGACAUUGUUGUUGGACAGUGUUUCCGAUGAAGGCGGU